AACGAACGCUGGCGGCAUGCCUAACACAUGCAAGUCGAACGAGACCUUCGGGUCUAGUGGCGCACGGGUGCGUAACGCGUGGGAACCUGCCCUUAGGUUCGGAAUAACUCCCCGAAAGGGGUGCUAAUACCGGAUAAUGUCUUCGGACCAAAGAUUUAUCGUCUUUGGAUGGGCCCGCGUUGGAUUAGCUAGUUGGUAGGGUAAAAGCCUACCAAGGCGACGAUCCAUAGCUGGUCUGAGAGGAUGAACAGCCACACUGGGACUGAGACACGGCCCAGACUCCUACGGGAGGCAGCAGUGGGGAAUAUUGGACAAUGGGCGAAAGCCUGAUCCAGCAAUGCCGCGUGAGUGAUGAAGGCCUUAGGGUUGUAAAGCUCUUUUACCCGGGAUGAUAAUGACAGUACCGGGAGAAUAAGCUCCGGCUAACUCCGUG
Molecule: ribosomal RNA, 433 nt
Filed under: uncultured bacterium
Lineage: Bacteria
Description: partial 16S ribosomal RNA
Rfam family: Bacterial small subunit ribosomal RNA
Source: RNAcentral